GCAUAUCAAUAAGCGGAGGAAAAGAAACCAACAGGGAUUGCCCCAGUAACGGCGAGUGAAGCGGCAACAGCUCAAAUUUGAAAUCUGGCCCCCCGGCCCGAGUUGUAAUUUGGAGAGGAUGCUUCUGGCGCGGCGCCGUCCGAGUUCCUUGGAACAGGACGCCACAGAGGGUGAGAGCCCCGUACGGACGGACGCCUAGCCUCUACGAAGCUCCUUCGACGAGUCGAGUAGUUUGGGAAUGCUGCUCAAAAUGGGAGGUAAAUUUCUUCUAAAGCUAAAUACCGGCCAGAGACCGAUAGCGCACAAGUAGAGUGAUCGAAAGAUGAAAAGCACUUUGAAAAGAGGGUUAAAAAGUACGUGAAAUUGUUGAAAGGGAAGCGCCUGUGACCAGACUUGCGCCUCGCGGACCACCCGGCGUUCUCGCCGGUGCACUCUGCGUGGCGCAGGCCAGCAUCGGUUCUCCCAGGGGGACAAAGGCCGCGGGAACGUAGCUCCUUUGGGAGUGUUAUAGCCCGCGGCGGCAUGCCCCUGGGGGGACCGAGGACCGCGCUUCGGCAAGGAUGCUGGCGUAAUGGUCACCAGCGACCCGUCUUGAAACACGGACCAAGGAGUCAAGCAUUGGGGCGAGUGUAUGGGUGCCAAACCCGCACGCGAAAUGAAAGUAAACGCAGGUGAGAGCUUCGGCGCAUCAUCGACCGAUCCUGAUGUCUUCGGAUGGAUUUGAGUAAGAGCCUUACCGCUUGGACCCGAAAGAUGGUGAACUAUGCCUGAAUAGGGUGAAGCCAGAGGAAACUCUGGUGGAGGCUCGCAGCGGUUCUGACGUGCAAAUCGAUCGUCAAAUUUGGGCAUGGGGGCGAAAGACUAAUCGAACCAUCUAGUAGCUGGGUACCGC
RNAcentral lists this ribosomal RNA (892 nucleotides) under Sporothrix globosa. Its description in RNAcentral is "LSU rRNA". It matches the Rfam family "Eukaryotic large subunit ribosomal RNA", at positions 38 to 961 of the family's 3401-position model. Lineage: Eukaryota; Fungi; Ascomycota; Sordariomycetes; Ophiostomatales; Ophiostomataceae. The record is from RNAcentral.